RNAcentral lists this ribosomal RNA (253 nucleotides) under uncultured bacterium. Its description in RNAcentral is "partial 16S ribosomal RNA". It matches the Rfam family "Bacterial small subunit ribosomal RNA", at positions 524 to 776 of the family's 1533-position model. The record is from RNAcentral.
UACGUAGGGCGCAAGCGUUGUCCGGAAUUAUUGGGCGUAAAGAGCUCGUAGGCGGUCUGUCGCGUCCGUUGUGAAAACUCGAGGCUCAACCUCGGGCUUGCAGUGGAUACGGGCAGACUAGAGUGCGGUAGGGGAGACUGGAAUUCCUGGUGUAGCGGUGGAAUGCGCAGAUAUCAGGAGGAACACCGGUGGCGAAGGCGGGUCUCUGGGCCGUAACUGACGCUGAGGAGCGAAAGCGUGGGGAGCGAACAGG